RNAcentral lists this ribosomal RNA (253 nucleotides) under uncultured bacterium. RNAcentral's name for it is "partial 16S ribosomal RNA". It matches the Rfam family "Bacterial small subunit ribosomal RNA", at positions 524 to 776 of the family's 1533-position model. The record is from RNAcentral.
UACGGAGGGUGCGAGCGUUGUCCGGAAUCACUGGGCGUAAAGGGCGCGUAGGCGGCGCGGAUAGUCGGCGGUGAAAGCCCGGAGCUCAACUCCGGGUCGGCCGUCGAUACUUCCGGGCUUGAGCACUGUAGAGGCAGAUGGAAUUCCGGGUGUAGCGGUGGAAUGCGUAGAGAUCCGGAAGAACACCGGUGGCGAAGGCGGCCACCUGGGCCUAACCUGACGCUGAGGCGCGAAGGCUAGGGGAGCGAACGGG